AUGCCAAACUCCAUUCCACAAGGAGCCUGUCAACAGCGGGGCUUGGGGGCUCGAGGAGCAGAGCCGCUGCGAUUGGAGGGGGCCCCCCGCCCCCCUGCUCGCCGCCGCCCACGCGGGGGCUCCCCGGCUGCCGCCGCGCGGGGCGCGGCACGAGGGGCACGAGGGGCACGAGGGGCACGAGGGGCACGUCCCCGGCCCCGGGUGCAGGGAGCGCCGCGGCUGGCACCCCGCGCCCGCGCCCGCGCCCGCGCCCACGCCCGGCCGCCCGCGCGCCCCGCUCCGCCGCCCGCGCCGCUCGCCUUCCGCGGCGCCCCCGCCCCCGCCCCCGCCCCCGCCCCCGCCCGCGCCCGCGCCCGCCCCGGCCCGCACGCCCCCGCCUCCGCGCAGUCCUCCCGCCGCAUUACCGGUGCCCUCGAGGCGGCUGGGCGGAGCGCCCCUGCCCGGGGAAGGCAGCCUGCGGGCGCUCGCCCCGAGCCCGGGAACAGGAGGUCUCCUUGCCAGGCGCACUCACAUUAUUCAUGCAAAGUUAAUCCCCGCCGCGUCACGGCCGCCCGCCCGGGGAUGUGCGCCUUCCUCGGCCGAGCCCCGCAGUCUCCACCCUCCUCCGCCCCCUCCUCCCGGCGGCGGGGUCCCGGGGAGCGCCGGCGACGGGACGUCGCGCGAGUCCUGCGAAAUGUCAACUCCUCGGGCGAGAGAGGCGGCCGCCGCCAGGGCCGCCCGGCCCUCCCCGGCCGCUCCACUUUUAUAGGCGCAGGAAGCGACUGCGGUCCGGGCCGCGAGUCCCCGCCUCUCCGGCCCCCCGCGCGCCCGGCCCGCCCCGGCCCGCUCCCCGGCCGCUGCCUUACUCCGGGCCCGGGCGCCGGCUCCGCGCCGCGUCUGCGAACCGGUGACCUGGUUUCCCCCGCGCCCCUCGCGGCGGUCCUACCCGCGCGGCGGCGGCGGCGGCGGCGGCGGCCAAGAGCAAGCCAACCCCGCUCCGCCAGGGGCGCAGCGAGGAAAUGGCCUCCAGCCGCUCGCCCCGCCGGCCCCGACGCCCCUCGCCCCUCGCCCGGCUCCCCGCAGGCGCCCGGGAGCGCCCGCCCCCCGCGCUCGCCGACCCCUGCCCGCGGCCCACGCGCGCACCGCCCCGGGCCGGCCGCCCCCGCACCUGCUCCCGGGUUCGGGCGCGCCCUCCCCUCCCAGCCCGGGAGCCCUGGCCAGGGCGGCCGCGCGUCCACCCACCCGGCGGCGUGCGCACCGCGGCUCGGGCUCGGGCGUCAUUCCUCUGGGAGGCGGAAAGGAAGAAAUGGGGGACGAGUGACAGGCAGGCGGGGGACCUUCCAGGAGCUCGGGCUCUGCCUGGGGCAGGACCGGCGCGGCCCCUGCCACUGCGCUCCUCCCUCCUUCUCCAAACCACUUGUGGCGCGUGUCGGGCAGACUGAGCGCUCUGGCUCCUCCUGGGGCCUCCCACGGGCCGGGCCGUCUGGAGUUCCCUUACCGUCACCCGCCAGCCCGCCCCCGCCCCCACCCCGCCCCCGCACCCCCCGUGGUGGCUUGGAAAAUACCUGGCUUGCUUUUGCGGGAGACACCCCUCCGCACAGUUACGCACAUCCUGGGAGAUGUGUGCAGAGUUGA
This 1614-nucleotide long non-coding RNA is filed under the name Canis lupus familiaris (dog). RNAcentral describes it as "lncRNA (ENSCAFG00030022855.1)". Lineage: Eukaryota; Metazoa; Chordata; Mammalia; Carnivora; Canidae. The record is from RNAcentral.